Molecule: ribosomal RNA, 252 nt
Filed under: uncultured bacterium
Lineage: Bacteria
Description: partial 16S ribosomal RNA
Rfam family: Bacterial small subunit ribosomal RNA
Source: RNAcentral
UACGAAGGGGGCUAGCGUUGUUCGGAAUUACUGGGCGUAAAGCGCGCGCAGGCGGCUAUCCAAGUCAGUGGUGAAAGCCCGGAGCUCAACUCCGGAACUGCCAUUGAAACUGUUUAGCUUGAGGAUGAGAGAGGUGAGUGGAAUUCCCAGUGUAGAGGUGAAAUUCGUAGAUAUUGGGAAGAACACCGGUGGCGAAGGCGGCUCACUGGACCAUAACUGACGCCGAUGCACGAAAGCUAGGGAGCAAACAGG